Molecule: microRNA precursor, 92 nt
Filed under: Canis lupus familiaris (dog)
Lineage: Eukaryota; Metazoa; Chordata; Mammalia; Carnivora; Canidae
Also listed under: 1 other name
Description: mir-8799 microRNA precursor family
Rfam family: mir-8799 microRNA precursor family
Source: Rfam by way of RNAcentral
GGGGGGAGCACUGGAUCCUGGGCUCUGUCCCCUGCGCUCUGUGCUCCCAGGCCUGUGCUGUAGGAAUCGCACUCCAGGCGGGGCAGCCCCCU